GCAUAUCAAUAAGCGGAGGAAAAGAAACCAACAGGGAUUGCCCCAGUAACGGCGAGUGAAGCGGCAAAAGCUCAAAUUUGAAAUCUGGCCUCCUACGGGGGUCCGAGUUGUAAUUUGUAGAGGAUGCUUCGGGUGUGGCCGCCGUCUAAGUUCCUUGGAACAGGACGUCAGAGAGGGUGAGAAUCCCGUCUUGGGCGGCCGGGUCCGCGCCCGUGUGAAGCUCCUUCGAAGAGUCGAGUUGUUUGGGAAUGCAGCUCUAAGCGGGUGGUAAAUUUCAUCUAAAGCUAAAUACUGGUCGGAGACCGAUAGCGCACAAGUAGAGUGAUCGAAAGGUUAAAAGCACCUUGAAAAGGGAGUUAAACAGCACGUGAAAUUGUUGAAAGGGAAGCGCUUGCGGCCAGACUCGGGGGCGGGGUUCAGCGGGUGCUCGUCGCCCGUGCACUCCCCGUCUCCCGGGCCAGCAUCAGUUUCGACGGCCGGUCAAAGGCCUCCGGAAUGUGUCGUCUCUCGGGACGUCUUAUAGCCGGGGGUGCAAUGCGGCCCGUCGGGACUGAGGAACGCGCUUCGGCUCGGAUGCUGGCGUAAUGGCCGUAAGCGGCCCGUCUUGAAACACGGACCAAGGAGUCUAACAUCCACGCGAGUGUUCGGGUGUCAAACCCGUGCGCGCAGUGAAAGCGAACGGAGGUGGGAGCCUUAGGGCGCACCAUCGACCGAUCCUGAAGUCUUCGGAUGGAUUUGAGUAGGAGCGUGGCCGUUGGGACCCGAAAGAUGGUGAACUAUGCCUGAAUAGGGUGAAGCCAGAGGAAACUCUGGUGGAGGCUCGCAGCGGYUCUGACGUGCAAAUCGAUCGUCAAAUUUGGGCAUAGGGGCGAAAGACUAAUCG
This 883-nucleotide ribosomal RNA is filed under the name Nannizzia gypsea. RNAcentral's name for it is "LSU rRNA". It matches the Rfam family "Eukaryotic large subunit ribosomal RNA", at positions 38 to 937 of the family's 3401-position model. Lineage: Eukaryota; Fungi; Ascomycota; Eurotiomycetes; Onygenales; Arthrodermataceae. The record is from RNAcentral.